UACAGAGGGGGCGAGCGUUGUUCGGAAUUACUGGGCGUAAAGGGCGCGUAGGCGGCCUUCUAAGUCGGAUGUGAAAUCCCCAGGCUUAACCUGGGAACUGCAUCCGAUACUGGAUGGCUUGAAUCCGGGAGAGGGAUGCAGAAUUCCAGGUGUAGCGGUGAAAUGCGUAGAUAUCUGGAGGAAUACCGGUGGCGAAGGCGGCAUCCUGGACCGGCAUUGACGCUGAUGAGCGAAAGCUAGGGGAGCAAACGGG
Molecule: ribosomal RNA, 253 nt
Filed under: uncultured bacterium
Lineage: Bacteria
Description: partial 16S ribosomal RNA
Rfam family: Bacterial small subunit ribosomal RNA
Source: RNAcentral